RNAcentral lists this ribosomal RNA (510 nucleotides) under uncultured bacterium. Its description in RNAcentral is "bacterial SSU rRNA". It matches the Rfam family "Bacterial small subunit ribosomal RNA", at positions 501 to 1009 of the family's 1533-position model. The record is from RNAcentral.
CUACGUGCCAGCAGCCGCGGUAAUACGUAGGUCCCGAGCGUUGUCCGGAUUUAUUGGGCGUAAAGCGAGCGCAGGCGGUUAGAUAAGUCUGAAGUUAAAGGCUGUGGCUUAACCAUAGUACGCUUUGGAAACUGUUUAACUUGAGUGCAAGAGGGGAGAGUGGAAUUCCAUGUGUAGCGGUGAAAUGCGUAGAUAUAUGGAGGAACACCGGUGGCGAAAGCGGCUCUCUGGCUUGUAACUGACGCUGAGGCUCGAAAGCGUGGGGAGCAAACAGGAUUAGAUACUCUGGUAGUCCACGCCGUAAACGAUGAGUGCUAGGUGUUAGACCCUUUCCGGGGUUUAGUGCCGUAGCUAACGCAUUAAGCACUCCGCCUGGGGAGUACGACCGCAAGGUUGAAACUCAAAGGAAUUGACGGGGGCCCGCACAAGCGGUGGAGCAUGUGGUUUAAUUCGAAGCAACGCGAAGAACCUUACCAGGUCUUGACAUCCCUCUGACCGCUCUAGAGAUAG